RNAcentral lists this ribosomal RNA (449 nucleotides) under uncultured bacterium. RNAcentral's name for it is "partial 16S ribosomal RNA". It matches the Rfam family "Bacterial small subunit ribosomal RNA", at positions 29 to 523 of the family's 1533-position model. The record is from RNAcentral.
AACGAACGCUGGCGGCAGGCUUAACACAUGCAAGUCGAGCGGGCCCGCAAGGGUCAGCGGCGGACGGGUUAGUAACGCGUGGGAACGUGCCUUUUGCUUCGGAAUAGCCCUGGGAAACUGGGGGUAAUACCGGAUGUGCCCUGAGGGGGAAAGAUUUAUCGGCAAGAGAUCGGCCCGCGUUGGAUUAGGUAGUUGGAGGGGUAACGGCCCACCAAGCCGACGAUCCAUAGCUGGUUUGAGAGGAUGAUCAGCAACACUGGGACUGAGACACGGCCCAGACUCCUACGGGAGGCAGCAGUGGGGAAUCUUAGACAAUGGGCGCAAGCCUGAUCUAGCCAUGCCGCGUGGGUGAUGAAAGCCUUAGGGUCGUAAAGCCCUUUCGCCGGGGAAGAUAAUGACGGUACCCGGUAAAGAAACCCCGGCUAACUCCGUGCCAGCCGCCGCGGUAA